GGAGAGGUGGCUGAGUGGCCGAAAGCAGCCGCCUGCUAAGCGGUUGGCCUUCUAAAAGGGGGCCCCCGGGUUCAAAUCCCGGCCUCUCCG
This 90-nucleotide transfer RNA is filed under the name Candidatus Saelkia tenebricola. RNAcentral's name for it is "tRNA-Ser". It matches the Rfam family "tRNA". From Rfam's summary of the family: Transfer RNA (tRNA) molecules are approximately 80 nucleotides in length. Their secondary structure includes four short double-helical elements and three loops (D, anti-codon, and T loops). Further hydrogen bonds mediate the characteristic L-shaped molecular structure. tRNAs have two regions of fundamental functional importance: the anti-codon, which is responsible for specific mRNA codon recognition, and the 3' end, to which the tRNAs corresponding amino acid is attached (by aminoacyl-tRNA synthetases). tRNAs cope with the degeneracy of the genetic code in two manners: having more than one tRNA (with a specific anti-codon) for a particular amino acid; and 'wobble' base-pairing, i.e. permitting non-standard base-pairing at the 3rd anti-codon position. The record is from RNAcentral. Lineage: Bacteria; Pseudomonadati; Candidatus Omnitrophota.